Alosa sapidissima (American shad) is the source of this 381-nucleotide long non-coding RNA. RefSeq lists it as uncharacterized. The record is from RefSeq and is a predicted model, not a curated record. Lineage: Eukaryota; Metazoa; Chordata; Actinopteri; Clupeiformes; Clupeidae. The transcript is spliced from 3 exons.
CCCCUUUUUACCGUCCUGACCAUUGCCAUCGCCGCAGAGUCUCCCCCUCCCUGUGCGGCAUUGGCCUCCCGCUGGCUGGAUGUGCGUCCAGUGCAGUCCCCGGGUGCUGAGAGCCGAAAGUGGGAGCAGUUCCUGGUGGUGAUGGGUUCCCAUCUUUGUGUGCUGUGACAUUUGUCUCUCACUGAGUGUAUCAUUGCCGUGUGUGUGUGACCAAGCACGUGUGAUUGGGUGCCUCCUUCGGAUACUCAUUAUUAUCCACUGCUCUCCCACCGGUAAGCCUCAGCCCUCUUCCUGUUUUAUGUGUACAGUAUGUGAAUUUACAGUGUAAAAAUAAAUAAUUGUUUUUAUGGAACCAUGUCUCUGUCGGUUCUACGAACCUGA